RNAcentral lists this transfer RNA (77 nucleotides) under Nocardioides luteus. RNAcentral's name for it is "tRNA-Met". It matches the Rfam family "tRNA". Rfam says of the family: Transfer RNA (tRNA) molecules are approximately 80 nucleotides in length. Lineage: Bacteria; Bacillati; Actinomycetota; Actinomycetes; Propionibacteriales; Nocardioidaceae. The record is from RNAcentral. RNAcentral also lists the same sequence under 20 other names.
GGGCCGUUAGCUCAGUCGGUUAGAGCAGAGGACUCAUAAUCCUUGGGUCGCGGGUUCGAGCCCCGCACGGCCUACCA